This 200-nucleotide microRNA precursor is filed under the name Podarcis lilfordi (Lilford's wall lizard). Lineage: Eukaryota; Metazoa; Chordata; Lepidosauria; Squamata; Lacertidae. The record is from RNAcentral.
GGGUGUCCAGGAAGGAAGGAAGGAAGGAAGGAAGGAAGGAAGGAAAAGAGGGAGGAUGAACCAAACAAGUGCCUACUUAAUCAGUCCAGUGGCCCAUCUCUUCCAGCAUCCUGUUCUCACAGUCACCAACCAGGCUCUGAAAUUCCUUCCUUCCUUCCUUCCUUCCUUCCUUCCUUCCUUCCUUCCUCUCUCUCAUCUUG